CACUUCAGCAUUUAAGCGAUCUUAACGUUGCGGUUUGAACAUGCUUUGAAAGCUCACUGCUUCCAUUUCAUGUCAUUGAAAGGACUGUUUGUGUCAGUGUGCAUAGGUUCACGUGCGUAUGUCUGUGUGAUUGCGCGGUGCGUAAGUUAGUUCACAGGUGGAAAGCUGUGGUGGAUAACGAUGGUUAUGAACGCGGUUUUCUUGGGCGGCCUUCAAAUUCAGUUAAAUAUAUCUGGAGGAAGAGUAUUUUUCACAACGAGGCCAUUUUUGCGACGUGAAGGAGGAGUGGAGCAGCACUGCACACCAUUUCAUGGAUUUUGCUGUGGAACAGUACAGUGAAAAUGACAGACCGAACAGUGAUGCAAUCACUAAAAUCCCGAGAAGCAAGGAACCACAGACUUUUUUUUUUUCUAUCCGCAAGUCACCUUUGUUCAAACAUGGAAGGGUGUGUUCUGUGUGCAUGUGGAUUUGUCUUGGAGAUGUUGAUGUUAAGUUUUAAAUUUACAUAGGUGGAAAAAGUAAAAAAAAUAAACGGAUGCAGAUGUUUGGUCCAAAUUUGAUAAGGUAUACGAAUUGUUAACUAUGCACUGUAUACUAAUCUUUAUUGUAUACAAUUUUUGCAGUUAGCAUUAAGGUUUUUAGUAAGAUAUAUGCUAUUCUAUACUACAUAUACUAAUAUGUAGUAUAGAAUUGGGGCCUAUGGUUGGGACACAGUUACUUUUUAAGCUGUCUACCUCAAGUACUAUACUAUAGAUUUUUAAAUAUGCAGUCCUCUGUUUUAAUCCAUCCAUUGUUUUAUGGUUUGUAAUAUAUUGAAUAUGUUAAGAGCUGCUUGUCACUUAUGAACAUUUUAGAAGACAUGGACGAUGAUUGUAAAUUUAAUGGAAGACAGAAUUCAGUGUAUUUGCUAUACACUUUAAAGCACUAGAAAAACGUUUGGCUUGUUACUGUUCAAUAGUCAGUCAAGAAUAAAUCGUUACAUUUAUUG
Molecule: long non-coding RNA, 988 nt
Organism: Micropterus dolomieu (smallmouth bass)
Lineage: Eukaryota; Metazoa; Chordata; Actinopteri; Centrarchiformes; Centrarchidae
Exons: 2
Source: RefSeq, a predicted model, not a curated record